Molecule: ribosomal RNA, 433 nt
Filed under: uncultured bacterium
Lineage: Bacteria
Description: partial 16S ribosomal RNA
Rfam family: Bacterial small subunit ribosomal RNA
Source: RNAcentral
AGCGAACGCUGGCGGCAUGCCUAACACAUGCAAGUCGAACGAGACCUUCGGGUCUAGUGGCGCACGGGUGCGUAACGCGUGGGAACCUGCCCUUAGGUUCGGAAUAACUCCCCGAAAGGGGUGCUAAUACCGGAUAAUGUCUUCGGACCAAAGAUUUAUCGCCUUUGGAUGGGCCCGCGUUGGAUUAGCUAGUUGGUAGGGUAAAAGCCUACCAAGGCGACGAUCCAUAGCUGGUCUGAGAGGAUGAUCAGCCACACUGGGACUGAGACACGGCCCAGACUCCUACGGGAGGCAGCAGUGGGGAAUAUUGGACAAUGGGCGAAAGCCUGAUCCAGCAAUGCCGCGUGAGUGAUGAAGGCAUUAGGGUUGUAAAGCUCUUUUACCCGGGAUGAUAAUGACAGUACCGGGAGAAUAAGCUCCGGCUAACUCCGUG